This 115-nucleotide ribosomal RNA is filed under the name Carlito syrichta (Philippine tarsier). The record is from RNAcentral. Lineage: Eukaryota; Metazoa; Chordata; Mammalia; Primates; Tarsiidae.
GCCACGGCCACGCCACCCCGAGCGCGCCGCAUCCCGUCUGGCUCGGAAGCCAGGCAGGGUCGGGCCUGCCUAGUACUCGGACGGAGACCGCUGGGGACACCGGGCGCUGGAGGCU